This 1245-nucleotide long non-coding RNA is filed under the name Parus major (Great Tit). RNAcentral's name for it is "lncRNA (ENSPMJG00000011265.1)". The record is from RNAcentral. Lineage: Eukaryota; Metazoa; Chordata; Aves; Passeriformes; Paridae.
CCAAGUGUCACCAGUGACCCCUCGUCUCCACAUCCCGGAGCGCUCUGUCUCCGGCUUUGUUCGUGCUGGCCUGGACAUAGCACUGCGCCUUUCCAUCUGUGACUGCUCCCGCUCACUCCUGCAGCCCUGCUGAGCACUUCCGCUUCUCUUGUGCAUCCUCUUGACAGAAAGGGCUUUCCCUGGGUGUGUUUUGCUACGUUUUGACAAAGGACAGAUAAAAUAUAAUACCACAAACAGGAAAUACUGGGCAUGUAAAAGUAAUGCAUCUUGGUAAUACCACCAUUAGCGUUUUCACUUGCAGCAUUGCAGAAGCAGAGGCUGAAAUACCUCAGCUGGCAUUGGCACUUCUGCCCUGGCUUUGCUGCAGCUUUACCAGACAGGUUCCCAUGGAUGAUGCUGAAUGUAAAAAGACGGAUGAAGAGCUGUCUCAUGAACCCAGUUAUUCUGACAGAGGGAUGUGUUGUAAGAUUCUGUACAAUGAUUUUUCAGACCACUUGGGCAGUUCAUUAGUGAAUCCCAUUUUGCAGAGGACAGCCCCAUUUGAGGGACUGUCAGCCUGAGAUGAUGGUGCCUGCAUAUUGAAGACUCAGGAACUGUACAGAACAUCAGACUCUGAUGCCAUUCCAGGGCUGUAGGCUCUUCCUUGGACCACCCUUCACUUUUAUUUGUACAACACUAAAUUGUACUAGCACUAAAAGGACUCCCUUUCCCUUUAGACCUCAAACCAUAUAAAUACAUGUAAACAAUAAUAACUUGCCACCAAAGCACUUCAAAGUGGACCACAGAGAUCAACAGAGGUCAGAUCCUCUCUAACUCCAUGUAAACAGCAGCAAUACCCUUGAAAAUUAGUGAUGGUGGAAAGUGAUAGAUAUUUAUUCCUAAGAACUAGCUGUCUGUUUCCAGAGUAGAAAUCAACUCAUACUUUGUAAGAGAAAUUACACUACCUCUCUAAACUUAGAUUUAAAAGUGUCAGCCUCUCUACUCAUGAAAGUGUGCAUUCAUUGCUAAGGUACACAGUAGCCAUAAGAAAAUUUUCCUACCAUUAAGUUGGUAUUUAAUUUACCUCUCUCAUGCAAGUCACUUGAAAUUAACAUUCAGUAAAUUGUUUUUAGAGGAGAUGUGGUAGGGACAAACUGAGUAUCUAAGUAAACCCUGCUUGUUCCUUGCCUGAGUAAAUUAGGAAUAUUAAAAAAUAGUGCCCCGUGAUGGUGGAUGUGUAAUAAAAGUAAUAAAUAGUAUCUAACA